GCCGUUUUUCGAUAAUUUUGAUCUUGGCAACUACGGUUUUGUAAACCGUCGUUCCUCGGUUCGAAUCCGAGAGCCGGCUCCA
RNAcentral lists this transfer RNA (82 nucleotides) under Lentisphaeria bacterium. RNAcentral's name for it is "tRNA-Ser". The record is from RNAcentral. Lineage: Bacteria; Pseudomonadati; Lentisphaerota; Lentisphaeria.